GAUGAACGCUGGCGGCGUGCCUAAUACAUGCAAGUCGAGCGAACGGACGAGAAGCUUGCUUCUCUGAUGUUAGCGGCGGACGGGUGAGUAACACGUGGAUAACCUACCUAUAAGACUGGGAUAACUUCGGGAAACCGGAGCUAAUACCGGAUAAUAUUUUGAACCGCAUGGUUCAAAAGUGAAAGACGGUCUUGCUGUCACUUAUAGAUGGAUCCGCGCCGCAUUAGCUAGUUGGUAAGGUAACGGCUUACCAAGGCAACGAUGCAUAGCCGACCUGAGAGGGUGAUCGGCCACACUGGAACUGAGACACGGUCCAGACUCCUACGGGAGGCAGCAGUAGGGAAUCUUCCGCAAUGGGCGAAGGCCUGACGGAGCAACGCCGCGUGAGUGAUGAAGGUCUUCGGAUCGUAAAACUCUGUUAUUAGGGAAGAACAUAUGUGUAAGUAACUGUGCACAUCUUGACGGUACCUAAUCAGAAAGCCACGGCUAACUACGUG
RNAcentral lists this ribosomal RNA (497 nucleotides) under uncultured bacterium. Its description in RNAcentral is "partial 16S ribosomal RNA". It matches the Rfam family "Bacterial small subunit ribosomal RNA", at positions 28 to 507 of the family's 1533-position model. The record is from RNAcentral.